Molecule: ribosomal RNA, 428 nt
Filed under: uncultured bacterium
Lineage: Bacteria
Description: bacterial SSU rRNA
Rfam family: Bacterial small subunit ribosomal RNA
Source: RNAcentral
GAUGAACGCUAGCGGCAGGCUUAACACAUGCAAGUCGAGGGGUAGAAGGAGCUUGCUCCUUUGAGACCGGCGCACGGGUGCGUAACGCGUAUGCAAUCUACCUUUUGCAGAGGAUAGCCCAGAGAAAUUUGGAUUAAUACCUCAUAGUAUGUGAGGAUGGCAUCAUUUUCACAUUAAAGUCACAACGGCAAAAGAUGAGCAUGCGUCCCAUUAGCUAGUUGGUAAGGUAACGGCUUACCAAGGCUACGAUGGGUAGGGGUCCUGAGAGGGAGAUCCCCCANACUGGUACUGAGACACGGACCAGACUCCUACGGGAGGCAGCAGUGAGGAAUAUUGGACAAUGGGCGAAAGCCUGAUCCAGCAAUGCCGCGUGAGUGAUGAAGGCCUUAGGGUGUAAAGCUCUUUUACCCGAGAUGAUAAUGACAGUA